Long non-coding RNA from Olea europaea var. sylvestris, 554 nucleotides. RefSeq lists it as uncharacterized. The record is from RefSeq and is a predicted model, not a curated record. NCBI's taxonomy places the organism in Eukaryota, Viridiplantae, Streptophyta, Magnoliopsida, Lamiales, Oleaceae. The transcript has 4 exons.
GAUGUUAGAUAUCCCUGGCAUGAAACCAAAUUGGUUCUAUGGAAACGUUGAAUACACCCUAAUAUUAAUCACCAUUCCCUAAUUUAUAGUACAACUACUAAGCUUGACAUUUGUCCGUUCAUCCAUCAUCUACUUGCACAUCAAGAUCUAAUAAUUUUAUUGUGAUGCUCAUACAGAGGAAAUUGUUUUCAAAGAGUUCAUAGCUCUAGUUUGGCUGUUCUAAUUUGUUAAAUAAACAGGGUAAAAUUGAUUAUUGAGGAAAUUGAGAGAGAAGAAACAGAAUGGAGGGAGGAUCUAUAUUCGUCUGAUAGAAAAUUUGCAGAGUAUUACAAUGUUCUAGAGCAGAUUCUUGGGGUGCUUAUCAAACUUGUCAAGGAUAUAAAACUGCAACACCAACAUAAAUAUGAUGAACUGCAAAAGACUUGGCUGUGCAAAAGAUGUGAGACAAUGAGUGCUAAAUUGGGGGUUCUAGAACAUAUUCUCCUGCUUGAAACCUAUACUCCAGAAACCAUUCCGGCACUCCACAAAAUAAGGUAAAAGAAUAUGUACCUUUA